CCUACGGGUGGCAGCAGUGAGGAAUAUUGGUCAAUGGGCGGAAGCCUGAACCAGCCAAGUAGCGUGCAGGAUGACGGCCCUACGGGUUGUAAACUGCUUUUAUACGGGAAUAACGCGCCUUACGUGUAGGGCUUUGCAUGUACCGUAUGAAUAAGGACCGGCUAAUUCCGUGCCAGCAGCCGAUGUAAUACGGAAGGUCCGGGCGUUAUCCGGUUUUAUUGGGGUUAAGGGGAGCGUAUGCCGCAUGUCAAGCGUGCUGUCAAAUGUCCGGGCCCAACCCGGGCCUUGCAGCGCGAGCUGGCGUGCCUGAGUGCGCGGAAAGCAGGCGGAAUUCGUCGUGUAGCGGGGAAAGGCUUAGAUAUGACGAAGAACCCCGAGUGCGAAGGCAGCUUGCUGGAGCGGAACUGACGCUGAUGCUCGAAAGCGCGGGUAUCGAACAGGAUUAGAUACCCCUGGUAGUC
Molecule: ribosomal RNA, 461 nt
Filed under: uncultured bacterium
Lineage: Bacteria
Description: partial 16S ribosomal RNA
Rfam family: Bacterial small subunit ribosomal RNA
Source: RNAcentral